Molecule: ribosomal RNA, 297 nt
Filed under: Escherichia coli
Lineage: Bacteria; Pseudomonadati; Pseudomonadota; Gammaproteobacteria; Enterobacterales; Enterobacteriaceae
Description: partial 16S ribosomal RNA
Rfam family: Bacterial small subunit ribosomal RNA
Source: RNAcentral
AAAUUGAAGAGUUUGAUCAUGGCUCAGAUUGAACGCUGGCGGCAGGCCUAACACAUGCAAGUCGAACGGUAACAGGAAKCAGCUUGCUGMUUUGCUGACGAGUGGCGGACGGGUGAGUAAUGUCUGGGAAACUGCCUGAUGGAGGGGGAUAACUACUGGAAACGGUAGCUAAUACCGCAUAACGUCGCAAGACCAAAGAGGGGGACCUUCGGGCCUCUUGCCAUCGGAUGUGCCCAGAUGGGAUUAGCUAGUAGGUGGGGUAAAGGCUCACCUAGGCGACGAUCCCUAGCUGGUCUG